UACAGAGGGUGCAAGCGUUAAUCGGAAUUACUGGGCGUAAAGCGUGCGUAGUCGGCCAUUCAAGUCGGGUGUGAAAGCCCCGGGCUCAACCUGGGAAUUGCAUUCGAUACUGUGUGGCUAGAGUUCGGCAGAGGGAAGUGGAAUUUCUGGUGUAGCGGUGAAAAGCGUAGAUAUCAGAAGGAACAUCAGUGGCGAAAGCGACUUCCUGGACCAGAACUGACGAUCAGGCACGAAAGCGUGGGGAGCAAACAGG
Molecule: ribosomal RNA, 253 nt
Filed under: uncultured bacterium
Lineage: Bacteria
Description: partial 16S ribosomal RNA
Rfam family: Bacterial small subunit ribosomal RNA
Source: RNAcentral